UCCGUAGGGUGCGAGCGUUGUCCGGAAUUACUGGGCGUAAAGAGCUCGUAGGUGGUUUGUCGCGUUGUCCGUGAAAACUCACAACUCAAUUGUGGGCGUGCGGGCGAUACGGGCAGACUGGAGUACUGCAGGGGAGACUGGAAUUCCUGGUGUAGCGGUGGAAUGCGCAGAUAUCAGGAGGAACACCGGUGGCGAAGGCGGGUCUCUGGGCAGUAACUGACGCUGAGGAGCGAAAGCCAGGGGAGCAAACGGG
This 253-nucleotide ribosomal RNA is filed under the name uncultured bacterium. RNAcentral describes it as "partial 16S ribosomal RNA". It matches the Rfam family "Bacterial small subunit ribosomal RNA", at positions 524 to 776 of the family's 1533-position model. The record is from RNAcentral.